Long non-coding RNA from Oncorhynchus keta (chum salmon), 257 nucleotides. RefSeq lists it as uncharacterized. The transcript is spliced from 3 exons. The record is from RefSeq and is a predicted model, not a curated record. Lineage: Eukaryota; Metazoa; Chordata; Actinopteri; Salmoniformes; Salmonidae.
CAGACACAGCUGUAUAGUCCUGACUGGGGAUCCUUAAGGAACCAACAGGCUCAGACACAGCUGUAUAGAACCAACGGGCUCAGACACAGCUGUAUAGUCCUGACUGGGGAUCCUUAAGGAACCAACAGGCUCAGACACAGCUGUAUAGUCCUGACUGGGGAUCCUUAAGGAACCAACAGGCUCAGACACAGCUGUAUAGAACCAACGGGCUCAGACACAGCUGUAUAGUCCUGACUGGGGAUCCUUAAGGAACCAAC